UAAAGUUCAUUUUUUAAUAAUUUUCAUUAACAUUUUGUACUGAAUAAAAUGAGAUAUAGAAUUAACUAGGCAUGUUAAAUAUGAUUUGAUAAAAGUUAAGAAAAAGCUUGAUUUGGAUAAAAUUUGUAAUAAUAUUUAUUUUGCAGAAAUUUCAGGAGAGUAUACACCAACACCUGCUGGAAUGGUUUGCCAAAUACCAAAAGUAUUAGGAGGAAUAUGUCCCAACCAUGAAAAAUGUGUAUCUUAUUGUAAAUUCUUUGGACACAAAAAUGGUGGUUAUUGUAUUCCUCCUGGUGGUGAAAGGUGUUGUUGCACCAAAUGAAGAGUGUUUCUCUUAUGUUAUUCUUUUAUAAUAACAUUUUUCACUCUAUAUAUGUAAGCCAACUUUGGAAACAUCAAUAAACUUUCUUAAUUUUUUUUAUAUAUCUAUGUUCCAGUACGCUUAAUAUAGUCUCACAUCAUUCAGAAGUCAAUAUCAAUAACAGUUUAUCCGACUUGAGGUCGAAAGAAUCUCUAAUUAAACUUUGAUUUUAAGUCUUAAAAACUAGAGUUAGUCAUUUUAUCUGAGAUGAUUAAAUACAUAGAUUGCUAAUAUAAUGAAACAAUUUUUCACAUCUUAUUUUUACAGUAAGAUUAUGAUUCUUUUAUAUAAUUUAAUAAAAACAACAAAUAUUUCAUUUUAAACAAUUUUACUUUCCCAAGCUUUUCAGACUUUUCUUCCUCCUCCUUCUUAUGAAAAUUUAUGUAAGGAUGGAGUGUCUAACAAGUGACUUAUUUGUUUGGUCCAUCAUUCUUAAGAGUCUUUUUGGAAAGAAUAUGUAGAAAAUUACUAAAUUAAUAAUCAAUGGUAGAAGAACAUAAAAGGUACACAUAGUCUAAUUAAUUUAGAAAUACAAGUAAAGGAAAGAAAACAAAUAUUUUAGUGUAAUAAUGACACUAUUAUCUAAUAAAAUAUUAAAUCAAUAACAAAAUAAUAAAUAAAAUAAACAAUUUAUCUAAAUUCAAUAAUAAAUAAUUAUUAUUUUCAAUCAAAUAUAACUUUGUCAAUGUAACUUUUUCAAUCAAACUACUCUAUCAAGAUUCCCCAAAACCAUAAACGAACCAACUAAAACUAAAACUAAAUCGAGUGUAGGCAAACCAAAGGUUCAAGACAUCAAUCUGAAUGUAAAAAACUAACAGAUGGAAUUUUAGAGGAGAUCCAAGACCAAACCUUCAAUUGAACCAAAGAGAAAACCUCUAAAUGAUCCACUACUCUACCUUUAAAGAUGACCUUGUUCCUAAUAUGUCAGAUUUCACUAACCAUCACAAUCCAGACAUUCUCCAAGACUAAAUUGACAUAAUUAGGUGCAUAAUGGAACACCAUCCCUUGAUUUAAUGGUAUAUCCCUAAUAUAUCUUUCUUCAAAAUAUUGAUUAAAUCCCUUUGCAAGUGUAGUGAUUUGAAUUAUUUGAGAUAGCUUUGAGUAUAUGUGGCCUCAAAGAAUCCUUGUACACUUUGUUGUUCAAUGAAUUACUUGGUGGAGAACAACUCUGAAGCAAAGGAGUUAUUGGAAGCUUUGUUAGAUAGGUAUCUCACGUUGAAGAAUUUCGUGUAUAAAGAUUUGAUUGAAAUACUUUACCAGGAUGAAAGGUUUAUUGAAGAUUCCAUAUCAACUAAAAUAAAAAUAUUUCAUAAUAUAUAAGUUAACGUAAACCUCAUCUUAUAAGUUAAUUUUAUAAGAUUGAGUUAAACUUAAAGUUUUUUUUCAUUUAUGAAAAACCACCUAACUAAAUAAGUGAAUGGAAGGAGACAUAGUUAACAUGUAUGACUAUAUGAUGAAGAUAAUCAAUUAUUUCUUUUUAUUUGUGGUUUCUUUUGAUAUUUUGGAAAACAAGGUUCUUAAUUUGAUAGUAGUUGUGAAAAUUGUUAUUGAUGUGUUGUUCAAAAUGUUCAAGGAAUAAAUUGGAAAGGUUAGCAAAGAACUCCAAACCUUUUGGAUUGACAUUCUUAUAUAGAUUUGGUAGAUGCACUACAAGAAAAUAAUGAAAUAGAAAUCAAUUUUAGAAACAAAAAAAAUAAUUAGUUGCUAUAAUGACUAAAUUAGAUACCAUUUUAUAAACUAAAAAAACUUUUGGUUUCUAAAUUAGUUUCUAUCAUUGUUAAAUGGUUUCUAAAUUGGUAUCUAAUUAUUUAUCAAUGUUUUUGCUACCAAAUUUAGAAUUUAAAUAAUUGGUAGUUAAAACUUUGGUAGCUAAUUAGAUAUCAAUUUAGAAAUUAUUUAACAAAAAUAUAAACUAAUUUAGAAACCAAAAUUUUUUAUAAUCUCUAAAUGAUAUUUAAUUUAGUCAUUAUAGCAACUAAUUAUUUUUUGUCACUAAAUUGAUUUUUAUUUUCUUGUAGUGAAGGUGUUCUGAUGAAACUUUGUUAAAUAAUUCAUUUAUUAAAUUAUAACAGGAAUGACUAAAUUUUUUUUUUAAAUAUAUAUAUAAAUAUAUGUAUAUAUAAAUAAUUUAUUAAAUACUGUAAACUUUUUUUUUCUUUUGAUAAAAAAUUACUAUUAUUAUAAUAACUAUUGAAAUAAAAAUAUAUUAUUAAAUUAAUAAUUUUUAUUAAUAUAAAAAUAAAUAUUUUUAAAAUAUUAUUGUAUGUAAUUUUUUAUUUUGUAGAUGGUUUUUUAUUGGAAAGAACUAUUUGAAUUUUUAAAAAAAGUAGUUAUUUAAAGUAUAAAAUGUAAAAAAAUUAGAUUUGUUAUUUUUUUCAAAUUCAAAUUUUUCUAUGUAUCUUAAAAUUCAAAAAUUUCAGUUUUAAAUAAAUAACUGUCAAAUUUAUUAUGUUUUAAUAUUAUAAAGGAUAAAAUUAGGUGGGAAAAUGUGUAAAAGAAAUUCUUUGUAUAUAUCAUUAUAGAUAACAACAAAAAUUUAUAAUAAUAGUAUUAAAUUUAAUAAUGAUAAUAAUAACGAUAUUAAUAGUAAUAAUACUAUGUUCAGUUUUCUCUUGUAGUAGAAAUGAUAAUGUUCACUUUAAUAUAUUAAAAGAAGUGAUAAAUAUUAUUUAUUUAACCUUAUUUAGGUACAAAUUUCAGUUACUCUUUUAAGAAUAAAAUUUACUAGUACUCAAACAAGUAUAUAACUUGUAUACUGAUUAAAUAUAAUAAAAGAUUGCUUUCAUUUUUUUAUCUUCAUUUAUUUUUUUAAAGGUACUUAUUUUAAAUAUUUCCUAAAUUAUUAAAUAAUACUUAUGUUUGCAAAUGCUUUUAUUUUAUUAUUAAUUGGUUUCAACAAUAAUUAAUAAUAUAUAAUGUAUUUUAUAAAUGUGGCAUUUAAAUUUAUAAUCUAAAUCUUAAUGUUUCCUUCUUUAAUAAUAUAUAAUAAUAUUAUUAUUAAAUUAAAUAAUAAUAUCAAUAUUAAUAAUAAUGAUAUUAAUAACAAUAAUACUAUUAUUAAUAAUAUAUUUUUAAUAAGAAUAAUAUUAAUUAUAAUAAUAAUAAAAGUAAUAAUAUUAAUAAUAAUAUUAAUAUUAAUAUUAAAAAUGGUAUAUUAUUAAUGAUAAUAGUAUUAUUAAAAAUAAUAGUAUUAAUAAUAUUAAUAAUAAUAACAUAAUAGAUCACUAAAUUGUCAUACAGUUAGUAAUUACAUUUUCUCCCUUGUUUUUCGCCAAUGUUCAAUUUCCUCUUGUAGUAAAAAUGAUAAUAUUAACUUGAAUAUAUUUAAUAAAAAAAGUAAUUAAUAUUAUUUAUUUAAUUUUAUUUAUUUAGGUACAAAUUUCUGUUACUCUUUUAAGAAAAAAUUUUAUUAGUACUCAAACAACUAUUCAACUUAUAUACUGAUUAAGUAUAAUAAAAGAUUCCUUUCAUAGUUUUAUCUUCAUUUAUUUUUUUUAAAGUACUUAUUUAAAUAUUUCCGAAAUUUUUACAUAAUACUUAUGUUUGCAAAUGCUUUUAUUUUAUAAUUAAUUGGUUUCAUCAAUAAUUAAUAAUUAGUAAUGUAUUUUAUUAAUAUGGUAUUUAAAUUUAUAAUCUCAUUGAUAAAAAAAAACUAAAUUUAUAAUCUAAAUGUCUCCUUCUUUAAAAUUAAUAACUAUUUUUUAAAAAAAGUUGAUUAUCUUAAAAUAUAUUUUUAGACCAAUAAUAAUAAUACAAUACUUAUAUAUGUAAGCAUUUCUUAAAGGUAAUAUAUAAUUGAGUUUAAUAAUAUUAUUGAGUAUGAUGAAUUUUUAAUUUUAAAAUCACAGUAUACAUUUAUUAAAUAUAGUAUUUUCUACUUUAAGUUUGUGCACAAUAAAAAUAUUAUAGGGUUUAACUUUCAUCCAUCUAUCUAUAUAUAUACGUACGAUAUCUAUACAUACCAUAUCUUCUCUAGCAUACAUAUCAAUAUAAGUUUCAAAAGUUAAAGAAAAAAACUCAGACCUUCUUCAAAGAAUGAGUAUGAAGAUCAAAACUUUGAUGUAGUUCUUCCAAAUUGUUUGCAUUGCUUUUUUCUUGGUUUCAGGUAAUAAACUCAUAUAUGUUUUGUUUAGUAUGGUUUUUAGUUGUAAUUUUUGUUUUCCUAUUUUUAUUGGAGAUUCCACAUCGACUAGAAAUUAGAGUAUUUCAUAUUAUAUAAGUGUUAUUUCGAACCUAUCCUAACAAAAUUUGCUGGGUCAUGCAAACCUCACAUUGAACCGGUUUUAUAAAGUUGAGUUAGACUUAAAGUCCAUUUCUUAAUAAUUUUCAUUAACACUUUGUACGGAAUAAAAUGAGAUAGAGUAUUAACUCGGCUUGUUAAAUAUGAUUUGAUAAAAGUUAAGAAAAAGCUUAAUUUGGAUAUAAUUUGUAAUAAUAUUUAUUUUGCAGAAAUUUCAGGAGAGUAUACACCAACACCUGCUGGAAUGGUUUGCCAAAUACCAAAAGUAUUAGGAGGAAUAUGUCCCAACCAUGAAAAAUGUGUAUCUUAUUGUAAAUUCUUUGGACACACAAAUGG
This 4937-nucleotide long non-coding RNA is filed under the name Phaseolus vulgaris (common bean). RNAcentral's name for it is "long non-coding RNA (PVUL_LNC002813)". Lineage: Eukaryota; Viridiplantae; Streptophyta; Magnoliopsida; Fabales; Fabaceae. The record is from RNAcentral.